UACCGUAUCCCUGGUGCGGCUACGCCUCGAGGCAUAACAAGAAGACAACUAGGAAAAGAUAGCUCGUUCACACCAGGGCUGCUGUUCACACUCAAAUCCUUGCGCAGCCUGGACAGGAUAUGAGCAGCCAGCCCCUCCCUCAAAGCGAACGGUACAGAGCCACUCCCCCUCUCUGUUCAAUUAGUAAGCCCCUCCCUCCACUUACUGCGCAGCAACCAGCCAGAAGAAACAACACAGCUAGCUCUAGACGGUGUCUAGACCAGCUCUCUUCAGCUAUGCCAGGCUAGUAGGCAAGCAAAGAAGCUGAACAGGCCUAGUGCAGUGUGUGCAGUACUAGUGCUAGUGAGUAAGCCUCAGCCUGAGCCCUAGCCCUCUCCCAGAGUGUCUCUAAAGCAGCUCCUUCUGCAAGCACACAGCAUAAUUUUUGAUGAACUAGUCUACAGACUACACCCUCUGUCUUCAUUUAUGACAUUAAUUUUUGUUUCUCAUGCAAGACAUUUUCAUUCAUCGAAAACACCAUUAAUUUAUUUUUACUGCA
Molecule: long non-coding RNA, 538 nt
Organism: Halichondria panicea
Lineage: Eukaryota; Metazoa; Porifera; Demospongiae; Suberitida; Halichondriidae
Exons: 2
Source: RefSeq, a predicted model, not a curated record